CAGCUCAGACCCUUUUUGUAGG
Molecule: microRNA, 22 nt
Filed under: Oreochromis niloticus (Nile tilapia)
Lineage: Eukaryota; Metazoa; Chordata; Actinopteri; Cichliformes; Cichlidae
Description: oni-miR-10821
Source: miRBase by way of RNAcentral